RNAcentral lists this unclassified non-coding RNA (342 nucleotides) under soil metagenome. RNAcentral describes it as "partial contains 5.8S ribosomal RNA, internal transcribed spacer 2, and large subunit ribosomal RNA". The stretch from base 1 to 120 matches the Rfam family "5.8S ribosomal RNA", at positions 35 to 154 of the family's 154-position model. The record is from RNAcentral.
GAUGAAGAACGCAGCGAAAUGCGAUAAGCAGUGUGAAUUGCAGAAUUCAGUGAAUCAUCGAAUCUUUGAACGCACAUUGCGGCCAUAGGUAUUCCUUUGGCCAUGCCUGUUCGAGCGUCAUUUACACCCUCAAGCCUAGCUUGGUGUUGGGCGCCUGUCCCGCCGUUUUCGCGCGCGGACUCGCCUCAAAGUCAUUGGCGGCGGUCGUGCCGGCCCCCUCGCGCAGCACAUUUGCGCUUCUCGGAGGCCCGGCGGAUCCGCGCUCCAGCAAGACCUUUCACGACUUGACCUCGGAUCAGGUAGGGAUACCCGCUGAACUUAAGCAUAUCAAUAAGCGGAGGA